AAGGCUGAGGCGUGAUGACGAGGCACUACGGUGCUGAAGCAACAAAUGCCCUGCUUCCAGGAAAAGCCUCUAAGCAUCAGGUAACAUCAAAUCGUACCCCAAACCGACACAGGUGGUCAGGUAGAGAAUACCAAGGCGCUUGAGAGAACUCGGGUGAAGGAACUAGGCAAAAUGGUGCCGUAACUUCGGGAGAAGGCACGCUGAUAUGUAGGUGAAGCGACUUGCUCGUGGAGCUGAAAUCAGUCGAAGAUACCAGCUGGCUGCAACUGUUUAUUAAAAACACAGCACUGUGCAAACACGAAAGUGGACGUAUACGGUGUGACGCCUGCCCGGUGCCGGAAGGUUAAUUGAUGGGGUUAGCGGUAACGCGAAGCUCUUGAUCGAAGCCCCGGUAAACGGCGGCCGUAACUAUAACGGUCCUAAGGUAGCGAAAUUCCUUGUCGGGUAAGUUCCGACCUGCACGAAUGGCGUAAUGAUGGCCAGGCUGUCUCCACCCGAGACUCAGUGAAAUUGAACUCGCUGUGAAGAUGCAGUGUACCCGCGGCAAGACGGAAAGACCCCGUGAACCUUUACUAUAGCUUGACACUGAACAUUGAGCCUUGAUGUGUAGGAUAGGUGGGAGGCUUUGAAGUGUGGACGCCAGUCUGCAUGGAGCCGACCUUGAAAUACCACCCUUUAAUGUUUGAUGUUCUAACGUUGGCCCGUUAUCCGGGUUGCGGACAGUGUCUGGUGGGUAGUUUGACUGGGGCGGUCUCCUCCUAAAGAGUAACGGAGGAGCACGAAGGUUGGCUAAUCCUGGUCGGACAUCAGGAGGUUAGUGCAAUGGCAUAAGCCAGCUUGACUGCGAGCGUGACGGCGCGAGCAGGUGCGAAAGCAGGUCAUAGUGAUCCGGUGGUUCUGAAUGGAAGGGCCAUCGCUCAACGGAUAAAAGGUACUCCGGGGAUAACAGGCUGAUACCGCCCAAGAGUUCAUAUCGACGGCGGUGUUUGGCACCUCGAUGUCGGCUCAUCACAUCCUGGGGCUGAAGUAGGUCCCAAGGGUAUGGCUGUUCGCCAUUUAAAGUGGUACGCGAGCUGGGUUUAGAACGUCGUGAGACAGUUCGGUCCCUAUCUGCCGUGGGCGCUGGAGAACUGAGGGGGGCUGCUCCUAGUACGAGAGGACCGGAGUGGACGCAUCACUGGUGUUCGGGUUGUCAUGCCAAUGGCACUGCCCGGUAGCUAAAUGCGGAAGAGAUAAGUGCUGAAAGCAUCUAAGCACGAAACUUGCCCCGAGAUGAGUUCUCCCUGACUCCUUGAGAGUCCUGAAGGAACGUUGAAGACGACGACGUUGAUAGGCCGGGUGUGUAAGCGCAGCGAUGCGUUGAGCUAACCGGUACUAAUGAACCGUGAGGCUUAACCUUACAACGCCGAAG
This 1411-nucleotide ribosomal RNA is filed under the name Escherichia coli. Its description in RNAcentral is "partial 23S ribosomal RNA". It matches the Rfam family "Bacterial large subunit ribosomal RNA", at positions 1552 to 2925 of the family's 2925-position model. The record is from RNAcentral. Lineage: Bacteria; Pseudomonadati; Pseudomonadota; Gammaproteobacteria; Enterobacterales; Enterobacteriaceae.